AAGGCCAAAACUCAGUUUUAAUCCAAGUUUGAAAACCCACAACUUGGAGUCAAUAUUAUAUCGUAAAGGGCAAAAAACCCGAAGUGAACAAGAUCUGAAAGCUAACCAUGUGAAAGAAUUUAUAAUAAAAAAACAUAAAAAAGUUAACGGAUUUUGAGUGAACAGGAUCUGAAGAAUCCACCCUCUGCCUCACAAAAUUCUCAGUUUUUGCUCUAUUUCACUCUCCAUUCUCCUCUCUUUCUCCUCUCUCUUCCUUUCCUCAAACCAGAUUCAGCCACUAUUCUUCUUUUCUCUUUGCUUUCUGUCCUUCCUCUAUUCUCUCUCCGGUUUCACUAAAGCAGCCCCCUCUUCACGAUGUUCUUCCCUUCCUCUGCUACGCCUCCUUCUCUCCUCUUCUUCCUUCCGCGAUUCCCGCCAUUUUCUUCCAAAAAAUUCAUCCUCUAUCUACUCUAAACAGUCACAAGUCUGACUCCCCUCCCUAACUGGCACGGGUAUGCUAGCUGGCUUCUGGGUUUUUCCUUGGAGGUUUUUUCGAGCUGUGAUCCCCUGCUCGACGGCUUCAUAUCCAUGCGCUUGAUUUAUCUAUCCCUGCUGGUCAUCCUCUAUCUACCCUGCUGGUCAUCGUCGACGCAGCAAAGAAACCUCCUCCAGGCUUCUUCACGUUUUCAUCGUAGAUGAAGUCCGGAAAGUCAUGAUUUUAGAUGAUACCAAAACUACGCCGUUUCGGCUAACACUGAACUUGGGUUGGGCUGAAC
Molecule: long non-coding RNA, 755 nt
Filed under: Carica papaya (papaya)
Lineage: Eukaryota; Viridiplantae; Streptophyta; Magnoliopsida; Brassicales; Caricaceae
Description: long non-coding RNA (CPAP_LNC000355)
Source: RNAcentral